RNAcentral lists this ribosomal RNA (307 nucleotides) under uncultured haloarchaeon. RNAcentral's name for it is "bacterial SSU rRNA". It matches the Rfam family "Archaeal small subunit ribosomal RNA", at positions 444 to 750 of the family's 1478-position model. The record is from RNAcentral. Lineage: Archaea; Methanobacteriati; Methanobacteriota; Halobacteria; Halobacteriales; Halobacteriaceae.
GGGCAAGACCGGUGCCAGCCGCCGCGGUAAUACCGGCAGCCCAAGUGAUGGCCGAUAUUAUUGGGCCUAAAGCGUCCGUAGCUGGCCGCACAAGUCCAUCGGGAAAUCCACCAGCUCAACAGGUGGGCGUCCGGUGGAAACUGCGUGGCUUGGGACCGGAAGGCUCGAGGGGUACGUCCGGGGUAGGAGUGAAAUCCUGUAAUCCUGGACGGACCACCGAUGGCGAAAGCACGUCGAGAAAACGGAUCCGACAGUGAGGGACGAAAGCUAGGGUCUCGAACCGGAUUAGAUACCCGGGUAGUCCUAG